This 228-nucleotide long non-coding RNA is filed under the name Ananas comosus (pineapple). Its description in RNAcentral is "long non-coding RNA (ACOM_LNC039439)". Lineage: Eukaryota; Viridiplantae; Streptophyta; Magnoliopsida; Poales; Bromeliaceae. The record is from RNAcentral.
AUAAAGAACAAAGAAUCGAGAACGGCCAGUAAUAAGAAAUGGCUAGCGUUAGAGAACGGCUAGUGAUAAAGAGUGGCUAAUAAUAAUAAAGAAUGUCAAAGAAUAAAGAAUGACGAGUAGUAAAGAACGGCUAGUGUUAAAGAAUAACUAAUAAUGUAAAGAAUGAUUAGCGAUAAUGAAUGGCUAAGAGUAAAGAAUGGUUAAGAGUAAAGAGUAGGAUCAUUUAAU